GAUGAACGCUGGCGGCGUGCUUAACACAUGCAAGUCGAACGGAAAGGCCCUGAUUUUGUGGGGUGCUCGAGUGGCGAACGGGUGAGUAAAACGUGAGUAACAUGCCCUUGUAUUUGGGAUAACUUCAGGAAACUGGGGCUAAUAUAGGAUAGGAGCUCUUGCUGCAUGGUGGGGGUUGGAAAGUUUCGGCGGUUGGGGAUGGAAUUGCGGCUUCUCAGCUUGUUGGUGGGGUAGUGGCUUACCCAGGCUUUGACGGGUACCCGGCCUGAGCGGGUGACCGGCCGCAUUGGGACUGAGAGACGGCCCAGACUCCUACGGGAGGCAGCAGGGGGGAAUAUUGCACAAUGGGCGGAAGCCUGAUGCAGCAACGCCGCGGGCUGGAUGACGGCUGUCGGGUUGUAAACCGCUUUCGCCUGGGACGAAGCGUGAGUGAGGGUGAUGGGUAGAGAAGCACCGGCUAACUACGUG
RNAcentral lists this ribosomal RNA (468 nucleotides) under uncultured bacterium. RNAcentral's name for it is "partial 16S ribosomal RNA". It matches the Rfam family "Bacterial small subunit ribosomal RNA", at positions 28 to 507 of the family's 1533-position model. The record is from RNAcentral.